UAUCUUUGUCCCCGCAUUGGUUUGCGACUCUCAUCACGAGGGAAGCGAUUAAAAGGGAAUCAGGUGUAAAUCCUGAACAGUCCCGCUGCUGUAAGUUCCAUAGAUAUGUUGCGAGCAAUCUACUCAAAGCCACUGGAAAGAAAAUUCCGGGAAGGCGCCCGCAACAGGAAUAAGUCAGAAGACCUGCCAUGUAAAAUCCGUUUCA
RNAcentral lists this non-coding RNA (205 nucleotides) under Bacteroides thetaiotaomicron. Lineage: Bacteria; Pseudomonadati; Bacteroidota; Bacteroidia; Bacteroidales; Bacteroidaceae. RNAcentral also lists the same sequence under 1 other name. The record is from RNAcentral.